UUGUUGUUUUUUUUUUUUAAGUUUUGCCACCAGCAUACCAUAAUUUGAUAAAAAGAUUUUACUGCUCCAUCCAAACUUGGGUCCUUUUCCGGAAGUCCUAAAUAUUCAUUCCAAAAAGAAAAGUCUCUAAAAGUCUCGCCUCAUCAUUUGUGGCUCUCAAGAAGGUUAACAGCAAACUCCCCUGACCCUCUGGAAAAAUUAUCCAUUACUGCAUCUCUCUCUCUAAGAAGAGGGUAGCUCCUAAACAUGACGAACAGUGCAGUGGAAAUCUCCUCAUCAAAACUGAAGUUUGCCUUCACUCCUCAGAAUCCACCAGCCACCUCUGACACUGCCUUGGGGGAUCUCUCCUUGAUGUAACCACAUCCUUUGAGAUCACUCAGCUCAGGAAACAGAUACCUGGAGAAGGCAAGUGAAAUUGUCCAAAAUUUCCUGGUAAACUGGUGGUAAAACAAAUAGGAAACCUGCUGCCUCACACUGCCAAACUGAGAUGACUUGUCAUAGACAGGGGAAUGGAACAUAAGGCUGCUGUCUUCCUCUCAGUCCUUCUAAGCUAAAGGAGAAAGCUCUCUCUGAGGCUGUGGAUACUGAGGUGUCCUAUGCCAGGAUGGCAGAUGCCUGCGCUGUGUGGGUCCCACGCCCUGUGAGGAUCAUUGUCCAGACAGCAUGUCUCACUUUGCAACUGCUCUGAAGUAUUCCUUCCUUACGUGGAAUGGCAAAUGGUGGGGAGGUAACUAGAUUGAUCUCCCUUGUAGGCCUUUUCCUGGGACGUGGUACACAGGUUCCAGAUGGUACAAAGCCCCUGCUGCUUGGAUCUGCACAAAAACCUGUGUCUUCUUCAACCUAUUUCACAACAGAUUUGGCGCGCUCUUGGUCGGUUGCUCUUUGUACAAAUUAAGCUGAGCUGCCAGGAACGUUUGCAAACAGUGAAAAGCAAAGUGGGAUGUAUGAAGCAAGUCAAAAUAGGUCUCAAAUCUGGCAAAAUGCCUGCAGGUGCUUAUAACAUUUGACUUACUCUAGCUCAUGUAUUACCCACCCACACAGUCAUUCAUCCAGCUUUUUCCUGCCCUCACGCCCACACACACUCACCCUUUGCAAAUUCAUUCACCUUCUCUUCUCCCCCCCCAUUUUCUCUUCCAAACACAGUCAUUCCCCCACACAAAUAUACCCUAGACACACUCUUUGUUCCCCACAUACAAGCACACACACCUUUUUGAGUGCUGAGUGCAGUGACUGUAGGUGGUGUGUAGCAGACGAUGCUGUAAUCUUAUACCUAUGCUGAGAAAAAGCCUUUGGUAUUAGCGAGCUGAGAGCUCUGAUUGUUCUCACUUUCACGUAAAAUACCACUAAUCCAGUUUAUGGGGCUGACUGUUUCCAUCCUUUCCUGAACUCUGCCAUUGUUUUCCAGGGGAUCUCUCUUUCUGCUCAUCUUCCUCUUGCUCCACUUUGCCUCUUUCUCCCUAUGCUUUUCCUUUUCCACGUUGCUGCCCUAGACCACAGUGUUUCAGAGAGCUUGCCCAUCCCCAUAUCUCUCCAUGACCUAACACUGGCCCUGAUUACCUCACUGAGAGGGUGAGCAGGGAUGAGCAAUGAGCCUGCCAUGCAGCGUGGGGCACAGGGCAAGAAAUCCUGCAAGGUAUGGUGAGGUCAGAGGCAGAGACGGUAAGUGGUGGGGUGGAUCUUGCUGCCAUCCGAGCAGCGCUGAGUCCGCCUGGCAUCGAGCCUGCCUCUAAUGGAAUGUGACCCACCGCUGGGAAUGAGCUCAUCUGUAAUCCACUUAAUUGAGUUUUAUGAGCAGGAUUCUCACAUCGGGGAGCCAGCCUGCCUUCUUCCUAGCACUCACCCUUCUUUGCUUGCUGCCUGGGGAGGAGAAGGGGAGUGGGGGGUGUGUGCACUACUCCACUGAGCUAGUGAUAGUCUAGCUUCUGAUUUUCUGCCUGCCCUGGAGAAUCUGCAGGGAGCUGGACAGACAUGCUCUUCAAGACACCCACUGCCUCAUAGUGUAAUGUUUGCUUCUGCUGCAGGAUGCUCAAAUGUCAAUGUGACUAUUGGUAAUGCUGUCAGGACUGCAGAGCCUUAAGUUUUCCCAGCAUUUUGGUCUCUGUGCAAGUACUGGGUACUCAGAGGAGAUGCUCUCAGGUAUGCAUGAACCACCUUAACUGUGAGUCCAAGUGUGAUGGGACAGUCACUCUGAUCUCACUCCUCCUUUCAGUGUGCAGUAAUCUAAGUGGUGGAGCUGCCAGGAUCCUGUAAGAGCCUUUGUUUACACUGUAAUGUCUUACCAUCUUUAGCAUUUGCAUCAUCAUUUGUUUGUACUAAGUGAAUUGGUCACAUAAGAAUCAGCUAACAGAAAUUUGUCUGCUGUCUGCUAAGGGAUUUGCAGGCUUGAGUCUGUCUGCUGAAAGAUGCAGACUUUUGUCUUGGUAAAGCAGAACAAAGGGAGAAAGAAAAAGUGAGGGAGGGAGGCUUCUCCCCACAGGAGUGUUACUUUCCUUGGAAAAGCCUACUAGAGACCCUCUGGCAUAUAAAAUUUGGGAUAUAUUCCCUUCAGUGCUGGCAUGAAUGUCUGUAUUUGAAAUACAUACUGUCUGUCACUUCUGGUCUACCUUGUAGAAGAAAACUUUUCAUGGUUUCACAUCAAGUGUUGCAUACAUAUUGCAAAGCAGUAGCUCAGCAGCUCCACAAAUCCGUAACUUUGUGGAAAGGUCAUGGCAUAUGGAAAGGGAAGGAUACUGACAUGUUAACACAAAGCCCGUAACAGACCUGUGCUGGGAACAGCAGGGUCACCACUCUGUAUUCAGGUGUUUCUUAAA
Melospiza georgiana is the source of this 2810-nucleotide long non-coding RNA. RefSeq lists it as uncharacterized. Lineage: Eukaryota; Metazoa; Chordata; Aves; Passeriformes; Passerellidae. The transcript is spliced from 3 exons. The record is from RefSeq and is a predicted model, not a curated record.